GCUAACUCCGUGCCAGCAGCCGCGGUAAUACGGAGGGUGCAAGCGUUAUCCGGAAUCACUGGGCGUAAAGGGCGCGUAGGUGGUCUGUUAAGUCUGGCGUUAAAGCCUGGGGCUCAACCCCAGAUCAGCGUUGGAUACUGGCAGGCUAGACGGUUGGAGAGGCGAGUGGAAUUACCAGUGUAGCGGUGGAAUGCGUAGAUACUGGUAGGAACACCCAUUGCGAAGGCAGCUCGCUGGACAACACGUGACACUGAGGCGCGAAAGUGUGGGGAGCAAACCGGAUUAGAUACCCCUGUAGUC
This 300-nucleotide ribosomal RNA is filed under the name uncultured Truepera sp. RNAcentral describes it as "bacterial SSU rRNA". It matches the Rfam family "Bacterial small subunit ribosomal RNA", at positions 496 to 795 of the family's 1533-position model. The record is from RNAcentral. Lineage: Bacteria; Thermotogati; Deinococcota; Deinococci; Trueperales; Trueperaceae.